RNAcentral lists this ribosomal RNA (252 nucleotides) under uncultured bacterium. RNAcentral describes it as "partial 16S ribosomal RNA". It matches the Rfam family "Bacterial small subunit ribosomal RNA", at positions 524 to 776 of the family's 1533-position model. The record is from RNAcentral.
UACGUAGGGGCAAGCGUUGUCCGGAAUCAUUGGGCGUAAAGCGCGUGUAGGCGGCCAGAAAAGUCCGCUGUGAAAACUCGAGGCUCAACUUCGAGCUGUCGGUGGAAACUUUCUGGCUAGAGUCCGGAAGAGGAGAAUGGAAUUCCUGGUGUAGCGGUGAAAUGCGCAGAUAUCAGGAAGAACACCCGUGGCGAAGGCGGUUCUCUGGGACGGUACUGACGCUGAGACGCGAAAGCGUGGGGAGCGAACAGG